Molecule: ribosomal RNA, 2899 nt
Filed under: human oral metagenome
Description: bacterial LSU rRNA
Rfam family: Bacterial large subunit ribosomal RNA
Source: RNAcentral
UUAAGCGACUAAGCGUACAAGGUGGAUGCCUUGGCAAUCAGAGGCGAAGAAGGACGUGCUAAUCUGCGAAAAGCUUGGAUGAGUUGAUAAGAAGCGUUUAAUCCAAGAUAUCCGAAUGGGGCAACCCAGUGGGUGAAGAGCCCACUAUCAACGAGUGAAUACAUAGCUUGUUGAGGCAAACCGGGAGAACUGAAACAUCUAAGUACCCCGAGGAAAAGAAAUCAACCGAGAUUUUGUGAGUAGCGGCGAGCGAAAGCGAAGGAGCCUGUUAAUGAUAGCAGCAGAGAUAGAGGAAUGUGCUGGGAAGCACAGCGACACAGGGUGAUAGCCCCGUACUCGAAAUCCAGGCUGUGGUACUAAGUUAACGACAAGUAGGGCGGGACACGUGAUAUCCUGUUUGAAGAAGGGGGGACCAUCCUCCAAGGCUAAAUACUCCUGAUUGACCGAUAGUGAACCAGUACUGUGAAGGAAAGGCGAAAAGAACCCCGGUGAGGGGAGUGAAAUAGAACCUGAAACCUUGUACGUACAAGCAGUGGGAGCCCGCAAGGGUGACUGCGUACCUUUUGUAUAAUGGGUCAGCGACUUAUAUUUUGUAGCGAGGUUAACUAAAUCAGGGAGCCGAAGGGAAACCGAGUCUUAACUGGGCGGCUAGUUGCAAGGUAUAGACCCGAAACCCGGUGAUCUAGCCAUGGGCAGGUUGAAGGUUGGGUAACACUAACUGGAGGACCGAACCGACUAAUGUUGAAAAAUUAGCGGAUGACUUGUGGCUGGGGGUGAAAGGCCAAUCAAACCGGGAGAUAGCUGGUUCUCCCCGAAAUCUAUUUAGGUAGAGCCUUGAGCGGACACCUUCGGGGGUAGAGCACUGUUUCGGCUAGGGGUCCAUCCCGGAUUACCAACCCGAUGCAAACUACGAAUACCGAAGAGUGAUACUCAGGAGACACACGGCGGGUGCUAACGUUCGUCGUGGAGAGGGAAACAACCCAGACCGCCAGCUAAGGUCCCAAAGUCUAUAUUAAGUGGGAAACGAAGUGGGAAGGCUUAGACAGCUAGGAUGUUGGCUUAGAAGCAGCCAUCAUUUAAAGAAAGCGUAAUAGCUCACUAGUCGAGUCGGCCUGCGCGGAAGAUGUAACGGGGCUCAAAUAUAGCACCGAAGCUGCGGCAUCAGACGUAAGUCUGUUGGGUAGGGGAGCGUUGUGUAAGCGGAUGAAGGUUCAUCGAGAGGUGGGCUGGACGUAUCACAAGUGCGAAUGCUGACAUAAGUAACGAUAAAACGGGUGAAAAACCCGUUCGCCGGAAGACCAAGGGUUCCUGUCCAACGUUAAUCGGGGCAGGGUGAGUCGGCCCCUAAGGCGAGGCUGAAAAGCGUAGUCGAUGGGAAACGGGUUAAUAUUCCCGUACUUGGUAAAGCUGCGAUGUGGGGACGGAGCAGGUUAGGUUAGCGUGCUGUUGGAUAUGCACGUUUAAGUUGGUAGGUGGGAAGUUUAGGCAAAUCCGGACUUCCUUAACACUGAGAGAUGAUGACGAGGCUCUACGGAGCUGAAGUAACUGAUACCACACUUCCAGGAAAAGCCACUAAGCGAAAGGCUUUACUAAACCGUACUGAAAACCGACACAGGUGGUCAGGUAGAGAAUACUCAGGCGCUUGAGAGAACUCGGGUGAAGGAACUAGGCAAAAUAGCACCGUAACUUCGGGAGAAGGUGCGCCGGCGUAGAUUGUAGUCCCUAGCGGGCGAAGGUUGAACCGGUCGAAGAUACCAGCUGGCUGCAACUGUUUAUUAAAAACACAGCACUCUGCAAACACGAAAGUGGACGUAUAGGGUGUGAUGCCUGCCCGGUGCUGGAAGGUUAAUUGAUGGUGUAAUCGAAAGAGAAGCUCCUGAUCGAAGCCCCAGUAAACGGCGGCCGUAACUAUAACGGUCCUAAGGUAGCGAAAUUCCUUGUCGGGUAAGUUCCGACCUGCACGAAUGGCAUAAUGAUGGCCAGGCUGUCUCCACCCGAGACUCAGUGAAAUUGAAAUCGCCGUGAAGAUGCGGUGUACCCGCGGCUAGACGGAAAGACCCCGUGAACCUUUACUAUAGCUUGACACUGAACAUUGAAUUUUGAUGUGUAGGAUAGGUGGGAGACUUAGAAGUAGUCACGCCAGUGAUUAUGGAGUCGUCCUUGAAAUACCACCCUUUAACGUUUGAUGUUCUAACGAAGAUUACGAAACGUGGUCUCGGACAGUGUCUGGUGGGUAGUUUGACUGGGGCGGUCUCCUCCCAAAGAGUAACGGAGGAGCACGAAGGUUUGCUAAUCACGGUCGGACAUCGUGAGGUUAGUGCAAUGGUAUAAGCAAGCUUAACUGCGAGACAGACAAGUCGAGCAGGUACGAAAGUAGGUCAUAGUGAUCCGGUGGUUCUGAAUGGAAGGGCCAUCGCUCAACGGAUAAAAGGUACUCCGGGGAUAACAGGCUGAUUCCGCCCAAGAGUUCAUAUCGACGGCGGAGUUUGGCACCUCGAUGUCGGCUCAUCACAUCCUGGGGCUGUAGUCGGUCCCAAGGGUAUGGCUGUUCGCCAUUUAAAGUGGUACGUGAGCUGGGUUUAAAACGUCGUGAGACAGUUUGGUCCCUAUCUGCAGUGGGCGUUGGAAGUUUGACGGGGGCUGCUCCUAGUACGAGAGGACCGGAGUGGACGAACCUCUGGUGUACCGGUUGUAACGCCAGUUGCAUAGCCGGGUAGCUAAGUUCGGAAGAGAUAAGCGCUGAAAGCAUCUAAGCGCGAAACUCGCCUGAAGAUGAGACUUCCCUUGCGGUUUAACCGCACUAAAGAGUCGUUCGAGACCAGGACGUUGAUAGGUGGGGUGUGGAAGCGCGGUAACGCGUGAAGCUAACCCAUACUAAUUGCUCGUGAGGCUUGACUCU